Molecule: long non-coding RNA, 650 nt
Organism: Myotis myotis
Lineage: Eukaryota; Metazoa; Chordata; Mammalia; Chiroptera; Vespertilionidae
Exons: 3
Source: RefSeq, a predicted model, not a curated record
GCCACCCUCUCACCUGGCCGGCCGGUGCGCGUGCGCAUGCGCGCGCCUGGAGCCCUGGACCUGGGAGCCUUUGCAAAGGCUCUGGCCUCAGUGACAGUAAUCCCAGCAGCUGGUCUCCAGGGCAUAUGUGUGCCCAGUGCUUUUACAACUCCCAUCGGGUCCUCGCAGCAGCCCCCAAGAAAUGGGUAUUACCAUACUCCCCAUUCCAGAGAGGAAGAAAUGGAGGCCUGGCAAGGUUAAGUCACUAGCUCCAGGACACAAGAACCUGAGAGAGGAAGAGACCAGAUUGGAGGGCACAGCACAUUCAUGAGAGAGGAGACAUGCAAUGCAACUCCCAGAGCAGAGUAUGAAAUGAAUUUAGAAGAAAUGAGUUGUUCCGAUAAGAAAAAAAGAUGAAAAGGCUUUGUGGCUUCCUCCUGGCUCUCUUUUCUCCAUUGCUCAUUCUGGAGGGAGCCAGCUGCCAUGUUCUGAGGACACUCAAGCAGCCACGUGACAAGGAACAGAGGGCUCCCUCCAACAGCCAGUCCCAACUUGAUCCACCUUCCAGGUGUAUCCACUGGUCCCAGCAAGACUUUAGGUGACUGCACCUCACGAGAAACCUUGAAUUGGAAUGACCACCCCUGAGUGGCUUCUGAAUUCCUGACCUAUAG